GUGAGGAAUAUUGGUCAAUGGGCGAGAGCCUGAACCAGCCAAGUCGCGUGAAGGAAGAAGGAUCUAUGGUUCGUAAACUUCUUUUGCAGGGGAAUAAAGUGCAGGACGUGUUCUGUUUUGUAUGUACCCUGAGAAUAAGGAUCGGCUAACUCCGUGCCAGCAGCCGCGGUAAUACGGAGGAUCCGAGCGUUAUCCGGAUCUAUUGGGUUUAAAGGGUGCGUAGGUGGGUUGAUAAGUCAGCGGUGAAAGUUUGCAGCUUAACUGUAAAAAUGCCGUUGAAACUGUCGGACUUGAGUGUAAAUGAGGUAGGCGGAAUGCGUGGUGUAGCGGUGAAAUGCAUAGAUAUCACGCAGAACUCCGAUUGCGAAGGCAGCUUACUAAGCUACAACUGACACUGAAGCACGAAAGCGUGGGGAUCAAACAGGAUUAGAAACCCGAGUAGUCC
Molecule: ribosomal RNA, 445 nt
Filed under: uncultured bacterium
Lineage: Bacteria
Description: partial 16S ribosomal RNA
Rfam family: Bacterial small subunit ribosomal RNA
Source: RNAcentral